UACGUAGGGAGCAAGCGUUGUCCGGAAUCAUUGGGCGUAAAGCGCGCGUAGGCGGCCCUGUAAGUCCGUUGUGAAAGUCAAAGGCUCAACCUUUGAAAGCCGAUGGAUACUGCAGGGCUAGAGUCCGGAAGAGGCGAGUGGAAUUCCCGGUGUAGCGGUGAAAUGCGCAGAUAUCGGGAGGAACACCAGUAGCGAAGGCGGCAAUCUGGGCCGGUACUGACGCUGAGGAGCGAAAGCGUGGGGAGCGAACAGG
This 253-nucleotide ribosomal RNA is filed under the name uncultured bacterium. Its description in RNAcentral is "partial 16S ribosomal RNA". It matches the Rfam family "Bacterial small subunit ribosomal RNA", at positions 524 to 776 of the family's 1533-position model. The record is from RNAcentral.